This 471-nucleotide long non-coding RNA is filed under the name Bos indicus x Bos taurus (hybrid cattle). RNAcentral's name for it is "lncRNA (ENSBIXG00005015958.1)". Lineage: Eukaryota; Metazoa; Chordata; Mammalia; Artiodactyla; Bovidae. The record is from RNAcentral.
AUGUGUUCAUAUUCCUCAUGCUGGUAUAUAUGCUAUCCUCAAAACUUCAUGUCAACCAGCCAUUUGAUACCCUCCAAACACCUUGGAGAGUCAAGACAUCUUUAUUUGCUUAGAAAGGAUAUGGGAAAAUACACCAACCCCUGUACUGAGAAUUUACCAUCUACCAGAAGUACAUUGUGUUCUAUUGAGGGUGACCUGCAGGCCUUUCUGGAAGAGAAGGUAGAAGACAAGGGAAAACAAGAAUUUAUUAGUUAUGCAAAGAAUCCUUUCCUCCAAGGAUGAACAUUCUACAGGCAGGAGAAAAGAAUCCAUGGGGACCUGGGCAGAUUGAAACAGCUGUACACUGAGGAGGUUCAUGCUGGGAGAAGACAUUUCCUUUAAAGUGUUUCUGCAUCUUCAAAGCACAACAUUGAAAAAGGCCAAAUGAUGUUCCCUCUGCUGAAUAAAGCUGGGACAGCUGCUUUAACCUCA